Molecule: long non-coding RNA, 550 nt
Filed under: Linum usitatissimum (flax)
Lineage: Eukaryota; Viridiplantae; Streptophyta; Magnoliopsida; Malpighiales; Linaceae
Description: long non-coding RNA (LUSI_LNC002412)
Source: RNAcentral
UUCAUUCCGUGUUGUCGAUGGUCGCUAGUUAGCAGUAUAUGCCAUAAACAUGGGGAUUUUCUUGAUCACCAAGGUUGAACUGAGAGCUCUUGUGACGAGUUACAUCUUGCUAAGGAUACUGGGUAUCGUCGAGUACGGGUGCAACUGGAUUCAAAUGUUACGAUUCAUCUAUUGUUGGGGGAUGGUGAUCUUACACACCAACACUCUUCUAAGAUCCCCAGUUUCCAUUAGAUGUUGGAUCAAAAUUAGCAUGGUCAAAAUUAACCAUAUAAUUGGAAGGCAACUGGGCCGUCGACUACUUAGUUGGUCAAGGUCAUAAUUUACUAAUUGAUGUCCAUUCUAUUUCCAGUGUUUAUCCUAAUUUGUCGCUACAUAUUAUGUAUGACUUAGUUGGGGUUUCUCAACCUCGUUUAAUUAUGAUUGAUAGAUAAAAGUUGAGGCACCUGGAUUUAAAUAAAAUUAAAAUUGAGCCAAAAGCUAAAAGUUAAAACUUGUAUAUUAUUUUGGGAUAAACACUUGAUUAUAUCACUAUGAAGUUAUUUUGUAUGGG